AGUGGCGAACGGGUGAGUAAAGUAUCGGAACGUGCCCAGUCGGGGGGGAUAACGUAGCGAAAGUUACGCUAAUACCGCAUACGAUCUAUGGAUGAAAGCGGGGGAUCGCAAGACCUCGCGCGAUUGGAGCGGCCGAUAUCAUAUUAGGUAGUUGGUGGGGUAAAGGCUCACCAAGCCGACGAUCUGUAGCUGGUCUGAGAGGACGACCACCCACACUGGGACUGAGACACGGCCCACACUCCUACGGGAGGCAGCAGUGGGGAAUUUUGGACAAUGGGCGCAAGCCUGAUCCAGCCAUGCCGCGUGCAGGAUGAAGGCCUUCGGGUUGUAAACUGCUUUUGUACGGAACGAAAAGGUUUGGCCUAAUAAGCUGAGCUCAUGACGGUACCGUAAGAAUAAGCACCGGCUAACUACGUGCCAGCAGCCGCGGUAAUACGUAGGGUGCGAGCGUUAAUCGGAAUUACUGGGCGUAAAGCGUGCGCAGGCGGUUAUGUAAGACAGAUGUGACAUCCCCGGGCUCAACCUGGGAACUGCAUUAGUGACUGCAUAGCUGGAGUACGGCAGAGGGGGAUGGAAUUCCGCGUGUAGCAGUGAAAUGCGUAUAUAUGCGGAGGAACACCGAUGGCGAACGCUAUCCCCUGGGCCUGUACUGACGCUCAUGCACGAAAGCGUGGG
This 675-nucleotide ribosomal RNA is filed under the name uncultured Curvibacter sp. Its description in RNAcentral is "bacterial SSU rRNA". It matches the Rfam family "Bacterial small subunit ribosomal RNA", at positions 94 to 765 of the family's 1533-position model. The record is from RNAcentral. Lineage: Bacteria; Pseudomonadati; Pseudomonadota; Betaproteobacteria; Burkholderiales; Comamonadaceae.